CUUUUCCUCUGGACAGGUGUUGAUAAAUCUCCGCCAGUAAUUCUAUCCUAUACACUAUUCACUUCAGAGAUCACCUGUCAAGCUGCAUCACAUGACGGGGCCUACUAAACCAUUAAAGGAAAUGACCACCAGGGGUCUCCCUACCAGUCCUGGCAGCAGGGAUGUAAGGUGAACUUCAGAAGAGAUGGGAAUAUCGGCGCUGACCAAGGAGAGGACAAUAGAGCCAGGGGACGUUGACAUGCAGCAGAUUCAUCACAAAGGCUUGUGAGCGAAAACCUAUUCCAUAUCUUCCAAUGGUUGUUUAAGCAUCAAACAUCCAAGGCCCAUUCAGAUGCCUGUGAAAGACCAUCCAUCAUACUAUUUCUACCCAGUGUAACCUCUGGAAUGUACUCCCUGUACUGUUCAGCAUAUGCCGUGUGUGAUGAAUGAUUGGGAUAGUAUCUGGACAGCCGGCACAUUAAAGGAAGACUGUCAUCCCCUUCACCCACACUAACCCAAUACACCGGGUUAUAGUGCAGGGGAACAGGAGACCGAUGCGUGGUCUCUGACUUAUAUGCCUACUAGGGCUGCACGAUGUAUUGCAAAAGCAAACGAAUCACGAUUUUUGCUUUUGGCGAUAUAGCCCCAUGGGAAAACUUGCGAUUAUCUGCUUGGGCCGGCUCUCGUGUGCUUCUGCAGCUGGGGGCUGGCCAGAGAAGGUAAAAAAUGUAAAUACUAAAAGUUAGUGUUUGCUAACCAGGGUGCCUCCAGUUGUUGCAAAACUACAACUCCCAGCAUGCCUGGACCAGCAAAGGCUGACC
Molecule: long non-coding RNA, 800 nt
Organism: Hyla sarda
Lineage: Eukaryota; Metazoa; Chordata; Amphibia; Anura; Hylidae
Exons: 3
Source: RefSeq, a predicted model, not a curated record